RNAcentral lists this ribosomal RNA (292 nucleotides) under Oscillospiraceae bacterium. Its description in RNAcentral is "partial 23S ribosomal RNA". It matches the Rfam family "Bacterial large subunit ribosomal RNA", at positions 2633 to 2925 of the family's 2925-position model. The record is from RNAcentral. Lineage: Bacteria; Bacillati; Bacillota; Clostridia; Eubacteriales; Oscillospiraceae.
GGUCCCUAUCUGUCGUGGGCGUAGGAAAUUUGAGAGGAGCUGUCCCUAGUACGAGAGGACCGGGAUGGACGCACCUCUGGUGCACCAGUUGUUCUGCCAAGGGCAUAGCUGGGCAGCUACGUGCGGAUUGGAUAAACGCUGAAAGCAUCUAAGCGUGAAGCCAACCUCAAGAUUAGAUUUCCCAUAGCAUAAGCUAGUAAGGUCCCCGGAAGACUACCGGGUUGAUAGGCCGCAGGUGUAAGCACAGUGAUGUGUGUGCCAGGCGGUACUAAUAGACCGAGGGCUUGACCUA